RNAcentral lists this ribosomal RNA (254 nucleotides) under uncultured bacterium. RNAcentral describes it as "partial 16S ribosomal RNA". It matches the Rfam family "Bacterial small subunit ribosomal RNA", at positions 524 to 776 of the family's 1533-position model. The record is from RNAcentral.
UACGUAGGGUGCGAGCGUUGUCCGGAAUUAUUGGGCGUAAAGGGCUCGUAGGCGGUUCAGUAAGUCGGGUGUGAAAACUCUGGGCUCAACCCAGAGACGCCACCCGAUACUGCUGUGACUUGAGUACGGUAGGGGAGUGGGGAAUUCCUGGUGUAGCGGUGAAAUGCGCAGAUAUCAGGAGGAACACCAGUGGCGAAGGCGCCACUCUGGGCCGUAACUGACGCUGAGGAGCGAAAGCGUGGGUAGCAAACAGG